This 4154-nucleotide long non-coding RNA is filed under the name Zostera marina. RNAcentral's name for it is "long non-coding RNA (ZMAR_LNC001217)". The record is from RNAcentral. Lineage: Eukaryota; Viridiplantae; Streptophyta; Magnoliopsida; Alismatales; Zosteraceae.
GAAGUAACAUUUUCUGGUAUCUCCUCAGAAGGAUGGUAGUGAGAUGGAGCAGAUCGGUUAAUUCUGCUGUCGUAAUCAUGGUCUUGAUCUUCAUUGGAAGGAGUUGGAGUCGAUGAAGCCGCCGCCGCCGCAGUGAAAUGCCGUUGCACUCUUUUCCGCCCAAUGGCGUUGGUUGUGGUGACAUUUGUCGCUGUCAUCGGAGAGAAGGAGUGGAUUUCUGAAGCUCCUCCAAAGCCUAUUCUCCUCCUUUGGAUGUACCUCUUCCUUAGAAGCAAGUCGGUCGGUCACAUUCUAUUACUCCACUGAUAUACUGGUAAUUAUUCUAUGAAAAGGAUAGAGUAGUAACAAACUAACUGACUAUAUAACGUACCAAUAAGACAAGCGGCGGCGACGGCAGAAUUCCCCAAGAGACGCGGCGGCACCACGGCCGCAAAAGAAGCAGUACGAAGAGGAGGAUGGGGGAGGAAGCCUGCGUUGGCCUGAGAAAAAAAAACAAUAAAUAGAGUAAUUAACACGGUUGGAGUCGGCGAGAAAUGGAAAAUAAUAAGAUCGAAGGACGAACUUGUGACGGAGGUGGUAACGCAGAAGCCGAGGACAGAGUCGGCGAUCAUCAUCGGCGCCGAUUGGGAUUGUGGGAGGGGCAAGAAAAAUAAAAGAGGAAUGGAUAGGAUGAAUAUGAUGGUGUCGUUAUGAAUUAGAUUCCAUCGAGUCCGUCCGUUCCGUGGCACGAUUGAUAGUUGAUGGUUUAGAUUUUAAAGGAAUCGCGACUUGAUUCUUGAGUAGUGUGAUGUCAUCAAACGAGAUAAAAGUAUAACACUCGGAAUUGGAGAAAUCUCAUACAGAUGUCCAUGGUAUCCAUAACUCUCCAUUUUUACAUGGUAUCUGUUCGUAGUUGGUACCGAGGCCUGUCCAGAUCACGGGCCGAACAUGCUACAGACCCCUCGCCCGAGCAACAGGCCUGGACCGACGAAGGCCCAGGGACCCAUGAAAGACUUUUAUAAAUACUUCUCCUGAUCCAACAAGGGAGAGAGUUGAUAAUUACUGAGAGGAAUACUAGAGAAUUGUGUGUGUGAAUCCCCUAACGCAGCUUAGGUAGUUAGGUCACAGAUCGAGGGGGGGGGCGUAAGAUAGUAUAAAUGCCCCCUAACUAUAGAGGAGGGAAAAGAUAAACCAUCGAAAAACUUUCACUUAUAACAGAGAAAGAGGUCAAUUUGAAAGAUAGUGUGUAUGAUAAUCAUUACCGUUAGCACAUACACCAUCAAUAUUCAUACUGAUACCCAGAAAAAAAUCGAUAUCUAAAAUUUUCUUACAAGCAGUAAAGGGUGAUUCAGAUCGGAUCAACCCAAAUGAAACAAAAUCAUCUGACAGUAAAGGGUGAUUCAGAUCCGCAAUAUAGAUCACAGAUAUCCGAAGCAGUUGAUGGCGGGAUUAGAUCCCUGAUGUUGAGACUUAGCCGGUCUAAUCACUGAUGUUAAGCUGAUUAGGAGAGGUGCUCAAUUCGACAGGUGACGAUUAACAGAGAGGCAACAACACGGUAGACGGACUCGUAACAGUAGAGGCGAUGGAGGAGGAAUGUACUCGACGAAAUCGUCGGAUUGAAUCCAGGAAGAUGGGUGGAGUUACUUUUUUAAGAGAUUAAUCGAUAAUCUUUCAUUGAAAAUUAAAAGUGUAUUUUAGGAAUUACACCCAUUUGCAAUUAAUAAAAACUAAAGGUCUAUUUAAUAAAAGUCCCAUUAAAUGUAUCAUAAUCCCUAACCCAAGCAGGGGCGUGGGUUUUCCUCUUCUCCCUCCGGUUCACGAGCGGUUCAGUGUCGUUAAACUGUGGCGAGCCGUCGUCGUCUUCUCCAACUUCUGAAAUUAGGUCAUCUUCUAAAGUCACUAUAUCUUUAAUUUUCUGGGCGUCCUCGUAUAUGUCUUUGUAGUAGAUCACCCUCGUAUCAGGGUAUAAUUAAAAGGUUUAGAUAACACACCACUAGGCAUUCUGAAAUAGUUUUUAGGAAAAAAAUUAAGAACAACAGACUCUCAUUUAGUGUCACAAGAAAAAUUAUUAUCGAUCACCUUUUGAAGAUGUUUUCUGGUGGUUCGUGACGAAGACUGAUCAGGUGAGUGCAAGAAUGUUACGCGGUGAUAGAUGUGCUGUGAGUAGAGCUAGAUUAGAACGUUAGUGAAAGAUCAAAAUAACACAAGAGAUGUUGAGAACCUGAAUAUUAGGGUUUUCAAAGUUUAACGUAUGUAUUGUAACAGAGACCCAUGCAAAAAGGAGAUAAGAGGCAGCAUAAUAACGUAAAAAUUAAUUAAGAUUUUACAGAUCAGUCAGUACAAGUAUUUAUACUAAGAAAUAAAUUAGAAAGAAUGCCUUGGAUCCUUCUUGGGUUGUCACAUAGUGGGUCUUCAACUGUGGUCUAUUUAACAUUUGCAAAUACUUUUAUAUCCCUAAAUUGCUUUGCAAAAUAACAUAUAUUAUAAAGUUUAUCAGAAUUGUUAGAUUUAAGGGAAGAGAGUUUUCAAAAUACGCUCCUCCCUAGAGAAGGAUGUGUGCCCCAACCUAUAGUGUCAUGAUGUUAAUGAAAUGACAUGCAAAGUGACUUCUAUUGGGGCUAUGUUUGAUUAGGUACAAUAUCUCCACCAUGUCGACUAGACCAAGAGUCUUUAUCAGAAAUUACAAUACAAUUUUUAGUAAAAUGCACAAUAAUAUUAUCAUUUUAGGUGAGUCUACUUAUAAAUAGUAGAUUGACCUGAAAUGUGGACAAGUAGUAUACCCUUUUAAAGGUGGUGUCAGGAGAUAUGACAAUGUCACUUUUUAUAGGAGACCAUCUGACUCGACCCAUUUAGAAGGAGAAUUAGUAUUCCCUUACAUUUAGUCAUUGACGGGAAUAGGGAAGCAUUCUCACUAAUAUGCCCAGAAACAUCUGAGACAACAAUCCAAAAGGAUUUGUAAUCAUUAUAAUGUAAAAUAGAAUUACAGUACCUGAUUGACUAUAAAGGAUGGGGUCGUUAUAAGUUAUAUCUUCCUUGGUUAGGAUUUGUACUUGUCAGAGUAUAAGGGAAAACCAUGAACACCAAUUGGGUUGUCCUGGUUUUCCUCCUCAAAUUCAACUUCAACAACUUAUUUUCCUUUGAAAUUGGCCCAACCAUGUGAUACACCAUGUUUUUUUAUAGUAGUAGUGUUCUUGUUUGUUGACUCAGACGAUGCAACAACUUAUGAAGUUCCAACAUGUUUGUUAUAUUUUUGCCCUUGAGGAAGACCAUGCUGACCAUAACACUUUUCAUCACUGUACCCAAAGGCAACACGGUGGAAGUAAUAUAUAGUAGUUCACAUUAACUUUCCUUCGAUUCUUAUAAAUUAAAGAGUAGCUCGAUCGAGAUUGGUCUUUUCCUUGAGUUUAAUUUACAGUUGAUGAGGAGAUAAUUGCAACAACUUUCUUGAUGUUAGGUGCUUCCAGAGGACUUGUAGUAGAGUGAUUUGGACAAUUGGAUGAGUAGAAAGUUGUCUCAGAUGACACAGAGUGGGUAUCCAACAUAGUGGAAAUUCAUAAAGGAUUUAGUGAUUAUAUUCAUACAUAACAACUACAAGAAGGGAUACAGACCUUCAACCGAGUAGCAAGCAGUCACAAAUUGGAAUGGCAACACGAUUUUGGUCCUCUUUUCUUUCUCAACUGUGUUUCCUGAAAACAUCAACCUCUCCUCUACCUAUGAGAAACCCUAGAUCGAUGUGUAGGAAAAAGAAACCCAUCUCACCCUAUCCUCUCUUGAGGGGGGAGAUAACGAUUUCUUCUCCUCUUUCUCCCCCUGAUUUCUUCACUGCACCUUCCUCUCUCGUUGUCCCCCCCUUUUUCUUUCUUUUCUCACAUGCUCCUCUCCUUGCAAGAUCUGUCGUUCCCGAUGUUGUUGUCGCCGACGCUGUCCAUUUUCCCACUCGGAUCUCAACUCCUUCUUCCUCUCAUCGUAGUGGAAUUCCCACCCACGAACACAAUGCGUAAUUGUUGGAGAGAAAGGCCGAGUUAUAGACCGGAGUUCUUGAGGAAGACGAAUCUGAGUAGAGAGGUCGUCUCUCGCGGUGUGCUGCUGGUAACUUUCUACAUCAAGCACAAGUGGACAAGUGAGAAAGGCGUGAUAACGCUAUGGGAAAGGGUCGCAGCUGAGGGUAUUGUUAC